Mauremys mutica (yellowpond turtle) is the source of this 533-nucleotide non-coding RNA. Lineage: Eukaryota; Metazoa; Chordata; Testudines; Geoemydidae. The record is from the annotation of a RefSeq genome assembly.
CAAUCCGCAGCCCCUGGGUCUGUGCAGUGACCAGCCAGUCUCCUGAGAACUUUCCCCUCCAACACUCGGAAAAAUGAGGAUUUGGCUCCAUUUCGUUUUCAUUGUAGCAGCUCUGGGAGGCGCGCGGUCCCAGGUGCAGCUGGUGGAGUCCGGAGGGGAUGUGAAAAAGCCCGGAGACUCUCUCCGCCUCUCCUGCAAAGCCUCCGGCUUCACCUUCGGUGACUACUGGAUGAGCUGGGUCCGGCAGGCUCCUGGCAAGGGCCUGGACUGGGUCGCAACUAUAAGCUACUGGGCCGGCAGCACUGUGCAUUACGCCGACGCGGUCAAAGGCCGAUUCACCAUCUCCAGAGACAACCCCAACAACCUGCUGUAUCUGCAACUGACCGGCCUGAAGCCCGAGGACACCGCCCGGUAUUACUGUGCGAGAGACACAGUGAGGCGAAGCCGCUCUGAGCUCAGACAAAAACCUCCCGUUGCGGUCAGCAGGGAAGGUCCCAGCUGGUGAGAGCCUGACACUCCCGGGACUGGAAACU